RNAcentral lists this ribosomal RNA (453 nucleotides) under uncultured Streptococcus sp. RNAcentral describes it as "bacterial SSU rRNA". It matches the Rfam family "Bacterial small subunit ribosomal RNA", at positions 927 to 1382 of the family's 1533-position model. The record is from RNAcentral. Lineage: Bacteria; Bacillati; Bacillota; Bacilli; Lactobacillales; Streptococcaceae.
AAGCGGUGGAGCAUGUGGUUAAUUCGAAGCAACGCGAAGAACCUUACCAGGUCUUGACAUCCCGAUGCUAUUUCUAGAGAUAGAAAGUUACUUCGGUACGUCGGUGACAGGUGGUGCAUGGUUGUCGUCAGCUCGUGUCGUGAGAUGUUGGGUUAAGUCCCGCAACGAGCGCAACCCCUAUUGUUAGUUGCCAUCAUUCAGUUGGGCACUCUAGCGAGACUGCCGGUAAUAAACCGGAGGAAGGUGGGGAUGACGUCAAAUCAUCAUGCCCCUUAUGACCUGGGCUACACACGUGCUACAAUGGUUGGUACAACGAGUUGCGAGUCGGUGACGGCGAGCUAAUCUCUUAAAGCCAAUCUCAGUUCGGAUUGUAGGCUGCAACUCGCCUACAUGAAGUCGGAAUCGCUAGUAAUCGCGGAUCAGCACGCCGCGGUGAAUACGUUCCCGGGCCUU